UGGGGAAUAUUGGACAAUGGAGGAAACUCUGAUCCAGCAAUUCUGUGUGUGUGAAGAAGGUUUUAGGACUGUAAAACACUUUUAGUAGGGAAGAAAAAAAUGACGGUACCUACAGAAGAAGCAACGGCUAAAUACGUGCCAGCAGCCGCGGUAAUACGUAAGUUGCGAGCGUUAUCCGGAAUUAGUGGGCUUAAAGGGCAUCUAGGCGGUAAGACAAGUUGAAGGUGAAAACCUGUGGCUCAACCAUAGGGUUGCCUACAAAACUGUUGAACUAGAGUACUGGAAAGGUGGGUGGAACUACACGAGUACAGGUGAAAUUCGUAGAUAUGUGUAGGAAUGCCAAUGAUGAAGAUAACUCACUGGACAUAAACUGACGCUGAAGUGCGAAAGCUAGGGGAGCAAAAAGG
RNAcentral lists this ribosomal RNA (407 nucleotides) under Verrucomicrobiota bacterium. Its description in RNAcentral is "Verrucomicrobia bacterium partial 16S ribosomal RNA". It matches the Rfam family "Bacterial small subunit ribosomal RNA", at positions 355 to 776 of the family's 1533-position model. Lineage: Bacteria; Pseudomonadati; Verrucomicrobiota. The record is from RNAcentral.